This 550-nucleotide ribosomal RNA is filed under the name Molytinae gen. sp. ARC2564. Its description in RNAcentral is "SSU rRNA". It matches the Rfam family "Eukaryotic small subunit ribosomal RNA", at positions 32 to 581 of the family's 1831-position model. Lineage: Eukaryota; Metazoa; Arthropoda; Insecta; Coleoptera; Curculionidae. The record is from RNAcentral.
UUGUCUCAAAGAUUAAGCCAUGCAUGUCUCAGUACAAGCCAAAUUAAGGUGAAACCGCGAAAGGCUCAUUAAAUCAGUUAUGGUUCCUUAGAUCGUACCCACACUUACUUGGAUAACUGUGGUAAUUCUAGAGCUAAUACAUGCAAACAGAGCUCCGACCGGAGACGGAAGGAGUGCUUUUAUUAGAUCAAAACCAAUCGGUGGCGGUUGGUGACUCUGAAUAACUUUACGCUGAUCGCACGGUCAUCGCACCGGCGACGCAUCUUUCAAAUGUCUGCCUUAUCAACUGUCGAUGGUAGGUUCUGCGCCUACCAUGGUUGUAACGGGUAACGGGGAAUCAGGGUUCGAUUCCGGAGAGGGAGCCUGAGAAACGGCUACCACAUCCAAGGAAGGCAGCAGGCGCGCAAAUUACCCACUCCCGGCACGGGGAGGUAGUGACGAAAAAUAACGAUACGGGACUCAUCCGAGGCCCCGUAAUCGGAAUGAGUACACUCUAAACCCUUUAACGAGGAUCAAUUGGAGGGCAAGUCUGGUGCCAGCAGCCGCGGUA